Molecule: ribosomal RNA, 972 nt
Filed under: Salmonella enterica
Lineage: Bacteria; Pseudomonadati; Pseudomonadota; Gammaproteobacteria; Enterobacterales; Enterobacteriaceae
Description: partial 23S ribosomal RNA
Rfam family: Bacterial large subunit ribosomal RNA
Source: RNAcentral
AAUCCAUAGGUUAAUGAGGCGAACCGGGGGAACUGAAACAUCUAAGUACCCCGAGGAAAAGAAAUCAACCGAGAUUCCCCCAGUAGCGGCGAGCGAACGGGGAGGAGCCCAGAGCCUGAAUCAGCAUGUGUGUUAGUGGAAGCGUCUGGAAAGGCGCGCGAUACAGGGUGACAGCCCCGUACACAAAAGCGCAUGUGCUGUGAGCUCGAUGAGUAGGGCGGGACACGUGGUAUCCUGUCUGAAUAUGGGGGGACCAUCCUCCAAGGCUAAAUACUCCUGACUGACCGAUAGUGAACCAGUACCGUGAGGGAAAGGCGAAAAGAACCCCGGCGAGGGGAGUGAAAAAGAACCUGAAACCGUGUACGUACAAGCAGUGGGAGCACAGGUUUACCUGUGUGACUGCGUACCUUUUGUAUAAUGGGUCAGCGACUUAUAUUCUGUAGCAAGGUUAACCGUAUAGGGGAGCCGGAGGGAAACCGAGUCUUAACCGGGCGUUAAGUUGCAGGGUAUAGACCCGAAACCCGGUGAUCUAGCCAUGGGCAGGUUGAAGGUUGGGUAACACUAACUGGAGGACCGAACCGACUAAUGUUGAAAAAUUAGCGGAUGACCUGUGGCUGGGGGUGAAAGGCCAAUCAAACCGGGAGAUAGCUGGUUCUCCCCGAAAGCUAUUUAGGUAGCGCCUCGUGAACUCAUCUCCGGGGGUAGAGCACUGUUUCGGCUAGGGGGCCAUCCCGGCUUACCAACCCGAUGCAAACUGCGAAUACCGGAGAAUGUUAUCACGGGAGACACACGGCGGGUGCUAACGUCCGUCGUGAAGAGGGAAACAACCCAGACCGCCAGCUAAGGUCCCAAAGUCAUGGUUAAGUGGGAAACGAUGUGGGAAGGCCCAGACAGCCAGGAUGUUGGCUUAGAAGCAGCCAUCAUUUAAAGAAAGCGUAAUAGCUCACUGGUCGAGUCGGCCUGCGCGGAAGA